CCAAUCGGAACACGCCCACCCACUAUAAAAGCUGAGAGGGGCCCCUGUACUCUUUCUCUGUUUCUCUUCUGCUGAGGCUGAAGACACGCCCCUUCCGGCUGCUUGCCCUGCUGCUCUCACCGGCGUUCAAAACAUUCGGUGCGUUACUCUGCUUGGUGUUGUGUAGCCACAUUUGUGUUGCCAAAGGAAGCCAUAGCGGCUGGACCGGCUUCUGACGUGCUCUCCUUGUCCUGUGUGUGUGUGUGUGUGUGUGUGUGUGUGUGUGUGUGUGUGUGUGUGUGUGUGUGUGUGUGUGUGUGUGUGUGUGUGUGUGUGUGUGUGUGUGUGUGUGUGUGUGUGUGUGUGUGUCACGCUGCUGUACAGAGUGGCAGCACCAAGGACCCGCUGCUACUUUGCUUGGCUGCUACUUUGCUCGCUGCUUUGUGUACUGCUGUGCUUCACUUCGCCCGGCCGUGUAUCUGUGGCCUGCUUCACGGCUAACCGGGGCUAGCUGCUGCUAUCUCUCUGCCUCACUCGCCUGGCCUACCUCUAUCCGGUGUCAGCCGGGUUCGGACCAAGCAAGUUAUGAACUGGGUUAUUUUUUUAACUGUUUUUAGCUCUGUGAUUUUAAUUGUUGCCUUGUCUGUGUUUUUUUUAUUUGCACCCACAGUGGGGACACAGUGUUAUUCGUUGGACAUUAUUUGGGUUUUGUUGUUUUUCUGUUUUGCUUUAUGCCCCUUAUUGGUUUAAUGUCCAGCUAGUAUUGAUUUGUUUUUUUCUGUUCUUAUUCUGAGCUUUAUUUGUUUUUAUUUAUAUUUGUUUUCUAGGUUAAAAUAUUCAUUCUGAUUUGGUUAUUAGUUUAGUUCUUUUUGUUUCUGUGUUCUCCACUGAUUCCCUUCUAUGUUUCAGAGGCUGUGUACCUGUGGUCGGGACGUGAUGUCGUCAGUGGUGGUCUCCUCCCCGCGUGAUGUGUGAACCCUGUUUUUUUUUUUUUUUGGUUUAGUUUUGCACUUGUGUGUGAUUUUUCUUUAUUCACUUGGUGACCUCUCCCUGGGCCCUGUUCCUCCCCUCCGUCGACACACCGCCACAUGACCUGACUGUGAACACCAUUGACACCCACCUGAGGGAGACGCUGCCUAAGAUCUCCAGGCUGCUUGGUCAUGGUCUUUCUGGUCCUGCUCCAGAACAUCUUCAUCAACUACGUCUUCUUUUGAAGAGGCCCUCAGAUGCUGCAAUCUCUGAUCUUAAGGAGGAACUGCUACUUUCACUCUGUAACGAGACGGCGGUUAUUUUAAAGACCCAGCUCCUGCCAGCUUUGAGUGAAAAUUUAACAUCCAUCAAAACAGAACUACAGACAGUUAAAUCUGAGCUGUCAGUCAGUAUUUCAAACAUCAAGUCUGACCCAGGUGUCCUAAAGCACACUGUGGGUGAAACAGAAACUUCAGUCUCCACAUCACCGACGACAUCGACACACUCCAAAGCAGAGCACCUGUCUGCUGAACAGAGAAUAAUAAACUGCUGAAACAGUUGGUCUAUCCUUCUGUAAGUGAAAGCUAAACAGGAAGUGGUUCACUGAGGAUGUCGUCCAUUCAGUCUCCGUCUUCACAUCCAGAUGAGGUUUUCCUUCUGUUGGCUUUACUCAGAAGGUCCUCACAGUGAACAUGAGACACCUGAGACGAAGACAGACGUCACAGCAUCAGCAUCAACAGCAGAGGUUCAUUUUAAAGUGACCCUAGAAAGAUUUCCUCUGUCAUAUAUAUUUUCCAUGCAUUGAAAGACAGAAAGGCCUGUAGUCAUUUUAGCUUUAGGGGAGGAUUUUAUUGUCCAGCUUAUUUGUGCUGCAAUUUAAAUAUAAUAACUGUAAUGUUCAUCAUUACUUUGGAAAUAUUCUGGGAAGUUAUUUUUCUAAUCUACACUAAGAUGUACUACAACAUGUGAAUCUGUCAUUAAACAAUGUUAACGACUAAAGAGUAGAUUUACUGUUUUCUCCAGUUUAACUUACUGGAGACUACCGACAACACAGAACCUCAACCUUACUGUUUUAAUCACAUUUAGGUUUUCUAAACGUUACAUUAAUGUGAACCAGUGUCUCCACUCACAGUUCUAACUAAAUGCACCACAUUACACAAACACAACACACUUCAGCUGUUUUACAUGAAACUCAACACAAACAUCGUUAGCUUAAUGCUACGUUAGCUUUAAUCAGGCUACGACUGAGCAGCUAGCUCGGUUAGCAUCGCUAACAUUAAAGCUAAUAUUUACUGGAUGUUAACUUUCGUCUCUGGUCAGCAUACACUGAAAUAAACUCCACCAACAUCUGGAGUGCAUGGUACACAUUAUAUCUGACACUACAGCUGCAUAUAAAGUGUAGUAAAAGCGGCACAGAUAAGAAAAUAAACACUUACCGAACUAUCAGAGUCCUUUCAGUGUCUGCUGGUAGAAUCAGCCAAAGGUAGAAAACUGGUUAAAACGAGCCAACAGGCAGGAAAACUGUUUGUGGAAGAGGUUCUGCUGCUCCACUGCUAAAUAAACCAACAGUUAUAUCAGAAAACGAGGAGAACAGAUUCUCUGCUGCCUCCUCCAUAGGACCUGUCAAUUAUUCCAGACCGGACUGUCAAUCAAGUAGCCCCGCCCCCUGGCUUUGCAAAACUUUAAUGCUCUAUAAAAAUUCAAUAUUGAUUUAUUUUAAGAUCGUCCACCUGAUCUCUCAUUUUGACUAUGAAAACUAACGAAAAAAAAAUAUACAGUCUAUGCACCAUACUCUGUUUGGCUCCACAUUUGCUGAUUACCACUUCCGGGCUCAGAAAAUGAAAAAACGGAUCUUUUGUCAUUUCUGUCUCUUACUGAUUUUAUUUUCUUGUUAUUGUAAAUAUAAAAUGAAAAUCAAAGCAUUUUUUAAAAUGUCAUUAGAAGGUUAUGUUAUACUGUGAAUAACAAACUUGCAGACAACAGUGCAAUAAUUAUUCUUUAGUCAUGAGGAUUAGAUAUCUGUGAACACUAAUUUGCUUGAUAUUUGAUAUUGCAAAAAAAGGACAUUGUGAUAUUGUAAAGAAUAGUGUUGGAGAUUAGCCCUUUAACUGAUGUUCUCAUAUUUGUGAAAUUUAAGUUGUGAUGGAACUGUUUCCUUGCAGAGGAAAAAGAAAUGACAGUGUUAUUAGAAAGACACUUUUUAUUUUAAUUUUAAUUUUUUUAAUUUAAUAUUUUUCUUUCUUCUUUUAUUUCAUUUUUAAGGUUUGGAUAUCCUUGAACACUUAUUUGAACAGAAUAUAGAUUCUGAUGUUGUUGUAAAGAAUAAUGUUGGAGAUGUGCCCCUCCUCUGUCCUCAACCCGCCCGGCCAGCAGCAGAUGGGUCCCCCCUAUAUAGAGCCGGGUUCUGCUCGAGGUUUCUUCCCUGUUAAAAGGGUGUUUUCCUUGCGACUUACGCCUUUGGGCUUGCUCUGGGGGUCAGGCAUAUGGGUUCUGUAAAGCGUCUUGAGACAAUUUGACUGUAAUUGACGCUAUAUAAAUAAAAUUGAAUUGAAUUGAA
Acanthochromis polyacanthus (spiny chromis) is the source of this 3505-nucleotide long non-coding RNA. RefSeq lists it as uncharacterized. The transcript has 2 exons. The record is from RefSeq and is a predicted model, not a curated record. Lineage: Eukaryota; Metazoa; Chordata; Actinopteri; Pomacentridae.